GGAUGCCAGGCCAUACCGCCCGGAACGGGCCACGGCGACCCCGUCGGGGACCGCCCAGCCCAAGGCCGGCCUACCUAGCGACGGACAGCGAGAGGGAGGGGAGGAACUUGUCAACAAAUCUACUUCACAGCACAUCAAUGAAAGCAGACGGGCAGACGACAAUUACAGACGGUUGUAUUGGAUCAGGGUCAGAUCUGAAUUCUGCAGGUAGGUUUUCUGGGAUGACAGUUGAGGACAUCAGCACAUCAGAUGUUGGCCUGGACAGCUGUACCUACAGUACACCACACUGACCUCUGCUUUUGCAUGGAUGGCUGACUACUACCAUGUUCUGUGAAGGUAUUAUUAUAGCAAACAUUAGCACCUCUGACAGUGGAAUUUGUAGUUGUAAUGAAUAGUCACACAUGCAUAUUGGUAAAUUUGAAGUCACAGAGAAAAAGUUUUUUUUACUCAUUCUCUAACAAACACAACACAACGGUUACACCAUUUCAAAU
Sinocyclocheilus rhinocerous is the source of this 491-nucleotide long non-coding RNA. RefSeq lists it as uncharacterized. The transcript has 3 exons. NCBI's taxonomy places the organism in Eukaryota, Metazoa, Chordata, Actinopteri, Cypriniformes, Cyprinidae. The record is from RefSeq and is a predicted model, not a curated record.